AAAUAAUUAAGGAGUACCCUGCAGUGUCAUCUAGAAUAUGUCAGUUUCAGGGCUGUGAAGGUCUGAAUAUCAGCCCAGCGUCGGGUGGGCACAAAAGACUAGGACAUUGAACAGAGCUCACAUCUUCAGCCUGGAUCCUGGAGUACUUCUGGGGUGCGAGGUGGGGUUAUUGGAGAACCUAGAUUUUCUCAUAUCCCUCUCCCUGAAGACUCUCAAGGAAGCUGUACACGUGGAACAGCAGCAGACAAGGAUCAGAGUACAUGACCUGAUUAUGUGUUAGUUACGUCAUAGUCUGUUGUAAGGCUCAGGUAAUUUCAUGUAGUUUAGCUUCAGUGUCCUAAACAGAAACCUCUUAAUAUCUUCCUAGGCUCACAUCUGUACCCGUUAACCUUCCCACUCCGUGGAUAACUGCCUAGUAUAGAAACCAAAGCAGUGGGCAAAGAGAGAAUAUAGAGUCUGCUGAGGUUAAGACCUGCUACCACAGGUCAAGAAGAGCCAGGGAAGGAAAAAUUAUAUAUGUGACUCUUUAAUGUACAGAAACUACCCAGUAUGCAGCAUAGCCAAGUUGAUGUCUUAAGCCUGUUUUAUUAUCAAGUCCUUCAGUGGGACAGAGGCUAGAAGAAAGGUGACUGGGAGCGAGUAGAGAGGCCUAAGAGCUUCCAUUUCCUGCCCACCCUACAGUCAGACAUUGCUGGUCACCAUGCUCCUUUGCUGGUCCACACAGUCCUCUGACCCUCCUCUUCCCCAACCAGAGGCGCUGUUUUUGGAGGAAC
RNAcentral lists this long non-coding RNA (773 nucleotides) under Bos taurus (domestic cattle). Its description in RNAcentral is "long non-coding RNA NONBTAT018717". The record is from RNAcentral. Lineage: Eukaryota; Metazoa; Chordata; Mammalia; Artiodactyla; Bovidae.